RNAcentral lists this ribosomal RNA (406 nucleotides) under uncultured bacterium. Its description in RNAcentral is "partial 16S ribosomal RNA". It matches the Rfam family "Bacterial small subunit ribosomal RNA", at positions 30 to 526 of the family's 1533-position model. The record is from RNAcentral.
AUUGAACGCUGGCGGCAGGCCUAACACAUGCAAGUCGAACGAGUGGCGGACGGGUGAGUAAUGUCUGGGAAACUGCCUGAUGGAGGGGGAGAACUACUGGAAACGGUAGCUAAUACCGCAUAUCAUCAGAUGUGCCCAGAUGGGAUUAGCUUGAUGGUGGGGUAACGGCUCACGAAGGCGACGAUCCCUAGCUGGUCUGAGAGGAUGACCAGUCACGCUAGAAGAGGUAGACGGUGCCGACUCCUACGGAGGGCAGCCGGGGGGAAUAUUGCACGAUGGUCUCAAGCCUGCUGCGGCAAUGCCGCGUGUAUUAAGAAGUCCUUCGGGUUGUAAAGUACUUUCAGCAGGGAGGCGUUACGCGCAGAAGGAGCACCGGCUAACUCCGUGCCAGCCGCCGCGGUAAUUC